GUUUUUGUAGUUGAUUAACAACGGUGGUUUUUCGGGCCUCAGGACUCUAGUAGAGCAAGAACA
Molecule: transfer RNA, 63 nt
Filed under: Psammophis lineolatus
Lineage: Eukaryota; Metazoa; Chordata; Lepidosauria; Squamata
Description: tRNA-Glu
Source: RNAcentral